AUUAGCACGUCUUUAGCACAACAGAAGGUUCGGUUGGCAGGAGUCUGAAGACUGGACGAGAUGGUGUCGCUUGAGCUCUAUGGAGAUUUAAUAAGAGACAUUACUGCUCAGAACCUCUCGCACGCGGACAUUUCCACGAAGUUAUCACAAUUAGGUGUGCAGCGAUGUUCUGAAAUGAGUGUCAGGAGAUUUUGUGCACAUCACAACAUUUCCAGGAGGGGACAUGUAUCCGACACACAAUUAGAAGUUGCUAUCAGCAGGGCAAUAAAUCAGACAGGGUCAACAUAUGAUGACCAGGUAUCUGUCUGCGAUGGGAGUGGUUGCUGGUGAACGCCGGAUAGGGAGGAUUUUGAGAACAACGCAUUGUCCUUAUCACGAAAUGCGCAAUCGUGGUGCACGUAACCUUAACCCCGUCCCCUACAGUGCUGCAUACAUGGGACAUAAAAUCCACAUCGACCAGAAUGAAAAAUUGGUCAUGUUCAGAGUGACGCACGUUUUCGCAGUAGAUGCGUACAGCAGUAAGGUCAUUGCCCAUGCAACCAUGCCUGUCAAGAAUAAACUCACGAUAUAUGAGGAAGUUUACAGUCUGUAGCUGCUGAAUUCAUGGAUGAAUCAUCUGGCACUAGAGAAGAAGACCAUCAAACAUCCAUGUCAGCUGAUGGAGGUCCAAGAGUCUCACCAAACAACCAACCUACAGAGUGAAGACCUCAAAUCUGAUUGGACGGCCUCCUAUUCAGCCACAUGUGAACAAAUGCCUCUAAGUUGGUUUGUUUUCUAAAAUAACAUGACAUGUUCAGGCGUUCUUUGUGUGAAAACUCAGAGAUUUCAGGUAUCAGAAG
Molecule: long non-coding RNA, 839 nt
Organism: Amphiprion ocellaris (clown anemonefish)
Lineage: Eukaryota; Metazoa; Chordata; Actinopteri; Pomacentridae
Source: Ensembl